AAAAGGAUCUUGUAUCAGCAAGCAGUUGCAUGCAACAGCCCUGAGGGGGGAAAAUGCCAAACUUGCGUGCCACAGUCUUGUUCAAAUGUCUUUUCCCUAUGUCUGGGGAACCGGGGUCCAUUUCCAACUUCCCCCCCAAAAAAUAUUUCUUUGCACUUUCCACUGGUCCUGCUGUGUGCUUUUUUUUGGCCUUCUUUUUGGGGGUGUCGAGGGGUGGCGCUGGAGGGGGCUGUUUCUUUUUCCAGAGUCUACCAGGCGCUGGAGUUGAUAUCUGAUUUCACGCAAGGAAAAUUGGAGCCUUCAGCUGCUGCGGAUUCGGGCGAAGCCCAGUCGGCGCACUAAUUCCUCCCGGACUCCCGAAAGAACUCUGUCUGUCUCUUUCUCUCUGUCUGUCUCUCUUCAUCUUCUUGAGUCUGUGCUAUUUUUAGGUCUCAGGGUGCAGCGCCGCAGAGAGGGGAGGGGCCCCGGCGGCCCGUGGCGGCGGCCCACCUCGCGCUUGAUUGGAGUUGGGGGAAACGUGUUGGCUAAACUGCGGUGGGGAUCCGACUCCUGUGUUCUUUCAGGGGAAACUCGACUGGACACGUAUCACAACAUCUUAAUGGGCUUGUGCAGUCUCAAAGCUCUUGGCCGGAGGCCAAGCGGAGCUCGCUACCACCCAAAACGCUCAGAGGCUUCGCUGUUGCGGCUGUGGUCUUGCUCAGUGUGGAUCACCGCAACUCGGCGCUCCCAAGGCCGCCAAUCACACGUUUAGGUAUCUCGACCGGGGCCGAUCAAACUUCUUGUUUUGAGGCUGACCCUGAAGGAUGUGGUUUUUACCCUCGGUUGGCGAUUGUGGCUGUCUCGUCUGGGCCUAAAUGAGUCCCGUGCUCGCCGCACGCAGACGUUACACAACUGGAAGCCUCGUUGACAUCAACGCUUUGAAAGCAAAUAGCACGCAUAUUUAUCAUAAUUAAAGGUGUGUGGGCGGGAUGUGUGCAACAAGGCCGACUUUUAUCUUCUCAAACAUUCUGCUGCUCCGUUUUCAUCGCUAUCGCAGCGCUCGGGUCCCUCAGGCAGAUGCAGCAUUGGUCUCGGGGGACGAGCGGCAGUGUGAAAAACCCCCCUCCCGUCAACGGAAGUUGCUACAUGAGACUGCUUGAGCAGAGAGCGCAGCCUUCCUUUUCUGAUAAGACGAUAACGCUCGUUGCGUGUGUCUGCUAAAUGUGUGCGCGCCGGAGGCAGUGCCACGCACGAGGGCAGGCCUACAGGGAGGCAAG
This is a long non-coding RNA of Syngnathus typhle (broad-nosed pipefish), 1256 nucleotides long. RefSeq lists it as uncharacterized. The transcript is spliced from 3 exons. Lineage: Eukaryota; Metazoa; Chordata; Actinopteri; Syngnathiformes; Syngnathidae. The record is from RefSeq and is a predicted model, not a curated record.